Long non-coding RNA from Antechinus flavipes (yellow-footed antechinus), 2179 nucleotides. RefSeq lists it as uncharacterized. The transcript is spliced from 2 exons. NCBI's taxonomy places the organism in Eukaryota, Metazoa, Chordata, Mammalia, Dasyuromorphia, Dasyuridae. The record is from RefSeq and is a predicted model, not a curated record.
AAGGUCCUGCUUGCUAAGGUCCUGUUCUCUAAGGUCCUGCUCACUAAGGUCCUGCUCUCUAAGGUCCUGCUCGCCAAGGUCCUUCUCCCUAAGGUCCUGCUCGUCAAGGUCCUGUUCGCCAAGGUCCUGCUCGCCAAGGUCCUGCUCACCAAGGUCCUGCUCACCAAGGUCCUGCUCACUAAGGUCCUGCUCACCAAGGUCCUGCUCACUAAGGUCCUGCUCACUAAAUUUAAAGAUGAGGAAAUCUUGGAGAAGGAAGGUCACUUAAAGGUCACUCGGUCCAAACCUCCCAAUGCUUAGCAGGAAUUGCUUCCAUCACAUGCAGGUCAAUUCAACAAAAUUGUUUAAAUGCUUUUAUAUACAAGACAUCUGGAAUAUCUUCCUCGAGCCCCUGCUUGCAAGGGCUUCAGUUUCCCACAGCUCUGGUGAUCAGAAAAUACCUUUUGCUUUGUUGUUUGUGUCCAGCUCUUUAUGUCCCCAUUGGGCUUUUCUUGGCAAAGAUACUGGAGCCAUUUGCAUUUCCUUCUCCAGUGCACAAAGGCAGAGAUUAAGGGAUCUGCGCAGGUUCUCACAGCUAGUGAGUAUCUGAGGCAGAAUUUGAACUCUGCCCCCUCCCCGCCAUGUUCUCCCCUACUGCACCACCUUGCUGCCCCAGUGGGGGGGUUUCUUGACCUGGAGACCCGUACAUGCUUGAGACGAUUGUCCUAGUUUGCCUCAGAUGUACCCAAGAUGCUGUCCUAGGUGCAAGAUCACGGAACUGAGCCAAUUUCCGGGAGAUUCGCAUCGCCAGAAGCCUUUUCCGCCCCGGAAUGUCCGGUCUCCUGGCCUUCAGCGUCUUUGCCGGUCCCAUCUUGGUGACCAAAGGGCCUGGGCUCAGCCCAUCACCAACUGGGCCAUGGACUCAGGUGCAGAACUCCUGAUAUUUUCCAUCACUAUCCUAGCAGAGGCGGAGAUCAGAGAAAAACUGUUUCUUUGCCAGGGAAAAUAAUAAUUUGUAUUUCUGCAGCAUCCUAGGGUUUGCAAAACACUUUACCCACAUUAUCUCACUCCCCCCGGCAAGAGUCCCCUGAGGUAGAAAGAGAAGCGAAAGGCUUUGGCAGGAAAGCUGGGAGAGGCUGAGCUAAUGGACAGAGCCCGGCAUGGGCUUGAAGGCAUUUAAAUUCCCUCAGCCUUGUUAAUCUGUAAAAUGGGAGACUGUAGUGGAGCCAGCCCGAACCGGCUUGGGAGAGCUCAUUGGCAAGCGGUCAGCCUGGCAGAGCCUUCACUUCUGGGCCCGGGUUAACUCGUUCUGCGGAUUGUUUAAACUUCUGACCACAGCAGCUCAUGCUGUCCCGGGGCUUUCUUGGCAGCCCCUGGCGGGGGUCGCGUUCCUUCUGCAGCCAUUUUACAGAUGAGGAAACUGAGGCAGACUCAGUCACCCAGCUCGGAAGUGCCUGAAUUCACUUUUGAACUCAGGGCUUCCUUAUUCCAGGCCUUAUCCACUAAGCACCUGGCUGCCUUCAGAGCCAGGACUGGGGCAGAGUAAAGGGAGCUUUUCCUUGCCUUCCUUAGGGUGUGAGUGGUAACUAAUACCCGCCGAUUCCUGGGCCCAGUCGGGGACUUUCUGACCUUCGCUGGAGCCCACCGCCGGCCCUGUAUUCCGCCCCCCCCUUGUGGGUAGGGACUGUUGGGUUUUUUUUUGGUUGUUGUUGUUUUUAGAUAAGGUGCCUGGUAUACAGUAGGCUCCUAAUUAAUGCUUGCUGGAUGAAUGAAUAACUCUGGGGCACGGGAGCCGGGCACUGCCCUGCCCGCGGGAGGGGCGGCUCUCCCUGCCUCCCUGCAGAACCUUCCCGGCAUGCUCCGCGGCGGGGCUCAGGGCGGACGCCGGGGGCAUUGUGUGCCAGGCUGGCUCGGCCAAUGGGAGCUGGCAGCCGGGGGGGAGGGGGCGUUCCCCCCCACGGGCCAUUUUUACUGCGUCGCUGUUCGGACUUGAUUGAAGACAGGAUCUUUAGUCAUAAAAAUCAUCUUCGCAAUAAUAACAACAAAUGCCCGCCGUCUCCCGGCCCGGCCGCGCUUGGCACGAGGCGUGUUUUUGCAGCCGAGUUACAAUAAAGCUCCGAGAAGGGGCGCUUGCCAUGGAAACGCUGACACGGCCUUUCGGGCCCUUCGUGGUGAUUAAAAUUCUCCCCGCAAUUAAAAA